Molecule: unclassified non-coding RNA, 99 nt
Organism: Pan troglodytes (chimpanzee)
Lineage: Eukaryota; Metazoa; Chordata; Mammalia; Primates; Hominidae
Rfam family: Y RNA
About the family: Y RNAs are components of the Ro ribonucleoprotein particle (Ro RNP), in association with Ro60 and La proteins. The Y RNAs and Ro60 and La proteins are well conserved, but the function of the Ro RNP is not known. In humans the RNA component can be one of four small RNAs -- hY1, hY3, hY4 and hY5.
Source: Ensembl
GGCUGGUUGGAGUGCAGCGCUUUUUACAAUUGAUCAGAACCAGUUAUAAAUUUAUCAUUUCCUUCUCCACUCCUGCUGCUUCAGUUGACUAAGCCUAAG